Molecule: ribosomal RNA, 252 nt
Filed under: uncultured bacterium
Lineage: Bacteria
Description: partial 16S ribosomal RNA
Rfam family: Bacterial small subunit ribosomal RNA
Source: RNAcentral
ACAGAGGUCUCAAGCGUUGUUCGGAUUCAUUGGGCGUAAAGGGUGCGUAGGCGGCGCGGUAAGUCGGAUGUGAAAUCUCGGGGCUUAACUCCGAAACUGCAUUCGAUACUGCCGUGCUUGAGGACUGGAGAGGAGACUGGAAUUUACGGUGUAGCGGUGAAAUGCGUAGAUAUCGUAAGGAAGACCAGUGGCGAAGGCGGGUCUCUGGACAGUUCCUGACGCUGAGGCACGAAGGCCAGGGGAGCAAACGGG